GAAGGGAUUUUGACACCACCUAUGGCGUCGGUUUUUUGGAAAUAACCGACGCCAUAGGGUGUCCCCCCUAUGGCGUCGGUUAUUUCUAAAAAAACCAACGCCUAAAGGGUUUAUAACCCUAGCCCAGCCCAUCAUCUUCCUCAUUCGACCAGCCAACCCAGAAACCCCCAAACCAGAGAACCCCAAACCCUCUCCGCCAACCACCACGAAAAACCACCCCCAUUUCACCAUUUUUUCACCAUUUUAGCUCAUUUUUGUUUCUAAAUCUUCUAUUUUUCAUACCUAAAACUAUAUACCUGAAAAGAUCACAUUUUUCCUCAUUUUUUAGGGAAAACCGAAGGUAGAGGUAGUGGUGGUGGUGGUUAUACCUCCGGCCACCGUUUUUAGUGGAGAAAACAUUGUAUUUCAACGUCUAUUAAGGAUUUUAUCGGAAGUGACUUUAUCGGAAGACAAGUACAUAAUUUUUGGUAUAAGGUAUGCUUUCUUUAACCUACUUUUAUAAGAAUAUUUUUCAUAUAUAUUUAGAUAAUCUUUAAAUGCUUAGAGUAAUUUUAGAAUAAUAUUGAUGUAAUACAUAUGAUAUAUAUUGUUGAGUGCUAAGGAUAGAUAUAGUAAGCUAUAAAAAAAAUACAAAAAAGGUCUAUAUUGGGAUUUGAACUUGUGACCAAAAGGAUAGAUUGAUAAGUUUUUACCAAUAUACCAAAACACACUAGAAUUAACAAAUACAUUAUAAACAUUGAUUCUAAUACUUAAAAUAAGAAUUCUAUUAGUUUAUGUUAAGUAAAAUAGCAAAAUAAAACACAAAAAAUACCCAAGUUCAAAAAAAAAAAAAAAAUCGCCUCAA
This is a long non-coding RNA of Cannabis sativa, 844 nucleotides long. RefSeq lists it as uncharacterized. NCBI's taxonomy places the organism in Eukaryota, Viridiplantae, Streptophyta, Magnoliopsida, Rosales, Cannabaceae. The transcript is spliced from 2 exons. The record is from RefSeq and is a predicted model, not a curated record.